AUUGAACGCUGGCGGCAUGCCUUACACAUGCAAGUCGAACGGCAGCACGGGAGCAAUCCUGGUGGCGAGUGGCGAACGGGUGAGUAAUAUAUCGGAACGUGCCCAGUCGUGGGGGAUAACGUAGCGAAAGCUACGCUAAUACCGCAUACGAUCUAUGGAUGAAAGCGGGGGAUCGCAAGACCUCGCGCGAUUGGAGCGGCCGAUAUCAGAUUAGGUAGUUGGUGAGGUAAAGGCUCACCAAGCCGACGAUCUGUAGCUGGUCUGAGAGGACGACCAGCCACACUGGGACUGAGACACGGCCCCAGACUCCUACGGGAGGCAGCAGUGGGGGAAUUUUUGGGACAAUGGGCGCAAGCCUGAUCCAGCAACUGCCGCGUGCAGGA
RNAcentral lists this ribosomal RNA (383 nucleotides) under uncultured bacterium. Its description in RNAcentral is "bacterial SSU rRNA". It matches the Rfam family "Bacterial small subunit ribosomal RNA", at positions 30 to 408 of the family's 1533-position model. The record is from RNAcentral.